RNAcentral lists this long non-coding RNA (1314 nucleotides) under Numida meleagris (helmeted guineafowl). Its description in RNAcentral is "lncRNA (ENSNMEG00000000824.1)". The record is from RNAcentral. Lineage: Eukaryota; Metazoa; Chordata; Aves; Galliformes; Numididae.
AUGGAUGUGGACACACACACGUGCAAAGAAACACACAAUCGUGAAUCUACACAACCACACGUGUGUGCACCCACACACACCUGCGCGCUCACACACACGCACACAGACACGUGUACUGACACGUGGACAUCCACAUGCAUUCCCAUGUGCACACACAUGCACAAACACGUGAACACACACGCUCAUAUGUGCACACCCACGUGCAAGCUCACACACGUGAACUCUCAGACAGAUACAGCCAGCCACACGCAUCCACGUGAACGCUCACACGUGUCCACUUGCACACACACACACACUUGCACACAUGUGCACACAUCCACAUGUGGGCAGUCACCCCCCCACACACACGUGUGCACACUCACGGCCGUGGACACAAUCACACGCGUGUGCUGUCAGCCACACACAUGCACUCUCACAUGCGUGUGCACUCACACCCGUGUCACACGUGCACACGUACACAUCUGCAUCCCCUCGCACACUCACACGUGGACACACACAUACACACCCGCGUCCUUGCACAGGCGUGUAUCCUCUCACACACGCGUGUACACGCACGCGCCCCUCCAUGCACACACAUACACGCACACAUCCCCACUCACACCCAUGUGCAAACACACACGUGUCCACACACACAAGCGGCCACACACACGUGUCCUUUUACACGCACACGUUCCCUCUCACACCCAUGUGCACACACAUGUCCACACACACACACGUGUCCUUUUACACACGCACGCACACGCACUUCACACACACGCUCACACGCGCUCCCAUGUACACACACAUGUGUCCACUCACACUCACGCCUGUACAAACACACACGUGUCCACACACACACACGCACACACGCACACACGGCUGUUCACACGCACACGUGUCCGCUCACACACAUGUAAUCACACACAUCCCUCACGCACACGUGUACACACACCCCCCCAACCACACACAUACACACACGCGUGUAUACACACUCACAUUUGCACACACACACGUACAUACGCACACACGUGUACACACACACCCCCAUCCAAACACACACGUGUACGCACGCACACGUGUCUCCCGCACACCCGUGUGCACGCUCACGUGUCUGCUCACACACACACGUUCCCUCUCACACACACGUACACACACGUGUCUCCCACCCCACACGUGCACUCACACGCACGUGCACACGCACGCACACGUGCCCCCUCACACAGACACACACAUGUCCACACGUGUCCCCAGACACACGCACGUACACUCACACACGUGUACACACACACCCGUGCCCCCCCCUGCACCGACGUCCCCUCACACGCACACACGUAG